GGAAAAAGCCGCAACAUGAUGCUCCAUUUAAAUAUAUGUAAUGGUUAAUGUGGUUCAACAUGUUUGAGGAAGACAAUCAAAGGAGUCCAAGCUGUCGAGACAGACUGAACAACAUUACAGAACAGAAUGCAGAAGUCUGGUCGGUCUUCAAGCUACCCAAGUUCUCCCACACUAACCCACUCCUCCUCACUGGCUUUGGUGGCGACUUGAUUCCUAUUCUGCUCUACCAAGUCCUGACUUCUCAACGGUAGAUUGAACUCCUCACUGACAUCAG
Molecule: long non-coding RNA, 274 nt
Organism: Epinephelus lanceolatus (giant grouper)
Lineage: Eukaryota; Metazoa; Chordata; Actinopteri; Perciformes; Serranidae
Source: RefSeq, a predicted model, not a curated record